This 229-nucleotide ribosomal RNA is filed under the name uncultured bacterium. RNAcentral describes it as "partial 16S ribosomal RNA". It matches the Rfam family "Bacterial small subunit ribosomal RNA", at positions 568 to 796 of the family's 1533-position model. The record is from RNAcentral.
UACGUAGGCGGGCGUCUAAGUCAGUGGUGAAAUCUUACAGCUCAACUGUAAAAUUGCCAUUGAUACUGGAUGUCUUGAAUUAGUGUGAAGUGGUUAGAAUGUGUAGUGUAGCGGUGAAAUGCAUAGAUAUUACACAGAAUACCAAUUGCGAAGGCAGAUCACUAACACUAUAUUGACGCUGAGGGACGAAAGCGUGGGGAGCGAACAGGAUUAGAUACCCUGGUAGUCC